Molecule: ribosomal RNA, 254 nt
Filed under: uncultured bacterium
Lineage: Bacteria
Description: partial 16S ribosomal RNA
Rfam family: Bacterial small subunit ribosomal RNA
Source: RNAcentral
UACGUAGGGCGCAAGCGUUGUCCGGAAUUAUUGGGCGUAAAGAGCUCGUAGGCGGUGUGUCACGUCGUUCGUGAAAACCUGCAGCUUAACUGUGGGCGUGCGGUCGAUACGGGCAUCACUGGAGUUCGGCAGGGGAGACUGGAAUUCCUGGUGUAGCGGUGAAAUGCGCAGAUAUCAGGAGGAACACCGGUGGCGAAGGCGGGUCUCUGGGCCGAUACUGACGCUGAGACGCGAAAGCGUGGGGAGCAAACAGG